CCCUUAGAUGUUCUGGGCCGCACGCGCGCUACACUGAUGCAUUCAACAAGCCUAGCCUUGACCGAGAGGUCCGGGUAAUCUUUGAAACUGCAUCGUGAUGGGGCUAGAUUAUUGCAAUUAUUAAUCUUCAACGAGGAAUGCCUAGUAAGCGUGAUUCAUCAAAUCGCGUUGAUUACGUCCCUGCCCUUUGUACACACCGCCCGUCGCUCCUACCGAUUGAAUGUGUUGGUGAGGAGCUCGGAUUGGCAGCAGUUGGUGGCUCGCCACCGGCUAUUGCUGAGAAGUCCUCCAAACCGCCCCAUUUAGAGGAAGGAGAAGUCGUAACA
RNAcentral lists this ribosomal RNA (326 nucleotides) under uncultured eukaryote. Its description in RNAcentral is "partial 18S ribosomal RNA". It matches the Rfam family "Eukaryotic small subunit ribosomal RNA", at positions 1470 to 1796 of the family's 1831-position model. The record is from RNAcentral.